Molecule: ribosomal RNA, 458 nt
Filed under: uncultured bacterium
Lineage: Bacteria
Description: partial 16S ribosomal RNA
Rfam family: Bacterial small subunit ribosomal RNA
Source: RNAcentral
CCUACGUGAGGCAGCAGUGGGGCAUAUUGCACAAUGGGGGAAACCCUGAUGCAGCGACGCGGCGUGAGUGAAGAAGUAUUUCGGUACGUAAAGCUCUAUCAGCAGGGAAGAAAAACCGGCCUUAGGGCCGCCAGACGGUACAUGACUAAGAAGCCCAGGCUAACUACGUGCCAGCAGCCGCGGUAAUACGUAGGGGGCAAGCGUUAUCCGGAUUUACUGGGUGUAAAGGGAGCGUAGACGGCAGCGCAAGUCUGGAGGGAAAUGCCGGGGCCCAACCCCGGAACUGCUUUGGAAACUGUGCAGCUGGAGUGCAGGAGAGGUAAGCGGAAUGCCGAGUGUAGCGGUGAAAUGCGUAGAUAUUAGGAGGAACACCAGUGGCGAAGGCGGCUUACUGGACUGUAACUGACGUUGAGGCUCGAAAGCGUGGGGAGCAAACAGGAUUAGAUACCCGAGUAGUC